RNAcentral lists this ribosomal RNA (377 nucleotides) under uncultured bacterium. RNAcentral's name for it is "bacterial SSU rRNA". It matches the Rfam family "Bacterial small subunit ribosomal RNA", at positions 523 to 898 of the family's 1533-position model. The record is from RNAcentral.
AUACGUAGGUGGCAAGCGUUGUCCGGAUUUAUUGGGCGUAAAGGGAACGCAGGCGGUCUUUUAAGUCUGAUGUGAAAGCCUUCGGCUUAACCGAAGUCGUGCAUUGGAAACUGGGAGACUUGAGUGCAGAAGAGGAGAGUGGAACUCCAUGUGUAGCGGUGAAAUGCGUAGAUAUAUGGAAGAACACCAGUGGCGAAAGCGGCUCUCUGGUCUGUAACUGACGCUGAGGUUCGAAAGCGUGGGUAGCAAACAGGAUUAGAUACCCUGGUAGUCCACGCUGUAAACGAUGAAUGCUAAGUGUUGGAGGGUUUCCGCCCUUCAGUGCCGCAGCAAACGCAUUAAGCAUUCCGCCUGGGGAGUACGACCGCAAGGUUGAA